Molecule: unclassified non-coding RNA, 288 nt
Filed under: Hevea brasiliensis (rubber tree)
Lineage: Eukaryota; Viridiplantae; Streptophyta; Magnoliopsida; Malpighiales; Euphorbiaceae
Source: RNAcentral
UUCUGGUGAUUAUAGCAGUGCAAGUAACAAAAAAUCCUCACUAGAUUAAUGAUUUCUAGUGGGAAAUUUUAAUUAAGUAGUACUAAGAACAAAAUUUCUUAAUCGAUGAUAUACAUGAUGUGUAAUAAUGCACAAUUAUGUGAGCUUAGUUCUCAUCAUAUUCAAUCACACAAUGAACAAAAUUUGGGAUGAGAAACAAAGCAAUGCAUUUAACAUACUAUUUACAGUACCUAGCUUGAACAUGACGAGACCCAAAAGGAAAAAAAAAAUUGCAUCAGGCAAUCUUGG